UACGUAGGGGGCAAACGUUAUCCGGAGUUACUGGGCGUAAAGGGCGUGUAGGCGGUUGGUUAAGUCUGGCGUGAAAGCUCUCGGCUAAACCGGGAGAGGUCGUUGGAUACUGGCCGACUAGAGGACGGUAGAGGCGUGUGGAAUUCCGGGUGUAGUGGUGAAAUGCGUAGAGAUCCGGAGGAACACCAGUGGCGAAGGCGACACGCUGGGCCGUACCUGACGCUAAAGCGCGACAGCAUGGGGAGCAAACGGG
Molecule: ribosomal RNA, 253 nt
Filed under: uncultured bacterium
Lineage: Bacteria
Description: partial 16S ribosomal RNA
Rfam family: Bacterial small subunit ribosomal RNA
Source: RNAcentral